UAAUUAAUUGGGUUGGUUUCAGGUCGGGUCAACCUAAACCCAACCCGAACUUAGUUCUGAUUUAUUUUAAAUAUGGGCCAAGCCCAAACUAUCUAAGCCUAAAAGCUAAAACCCUAAAAGGCUAAAACACUUCUCACGCCGUUUUGCCUCUCAUUUGCCUUCUCUUAUUUUUCUCUCUCAUUCUUUUUCUCUCUCCUCUCUCUACUCUUUCUUGUUUUCAAUUCUUUUCCAUUAAAAUUCUGAUUUAAACUCGUUAAUCUUAAGAAAAAUAAGAAUCCGAAAAUCAACCAUGGAAGAAGAAAGAAGGAAUUAAUGAUAAAGACUGCAGUUUUUUGGCAAAAUGGAGAAGCUUAGAUGUAAAUUAUGUUGCACAAAUGUACUUCAUAUAUGAAUUGUAAUUAUAUAAUGUUUACAGGAUGUAUUCAAAUAUUGUGAGUGUUAAUUUGGAUUAGUUUAACAUCAA
Long non-coding RNA from Chenopodium quinoa (quinoa), 463 nucleotides. RefSeq lists it as uncharacterized. The transcript has 2 exons. NCBI's taxonomy places the organism in Eukaryota, Viridiplantae, Streptophyta, Magnoliopsida, Caryophyllales, Amaranthaceae. The record is from RefSeq and is a predicted model, not a curated record.